RNAcentral lists this transfer RNA (74 nucleotides) under Larimichthys crocea (large yellow croaker). It matches the Rfam family "tRNA". Rfam says of the family: Transfer RNA (tRNA) molecules are approximately 80 nucleotides in length. Their secondary structure includes four short double-helical elements and three loops (D, anti-codon, and T loops). Further hydrogen bonds mediate the characteristic L-shaped molecular structure. tRNAs have two regions of fundamental functional importance: the anti-codon, which is responsible for specific mRNA codon recognition, and the 3' end, to which the tRNAs corresponding amino acid is attached (by aminoacyl-tRNA synthetases). tRNAs cope with the degeneracy of the genetic code in two manners: having more than one tRNA (with a specific anti-codon) for a particular amino acid; and 'wobble' base-pairing, i.e. permitting non-standard base-pairing at the 3rd anti-codon position. Lineage: Eukaryota; Metazoa; Chordata; Actinopteri; Sciaenidae. The record is from Rfam by way of RNAcentral.
GGUGCCGUGGCUUAGAUGGGUAAAGUGCCUCUCUAGUAAACAGGAGAGCCUGGAUUUGAAUCCCAGCAGUGCCU